AGACAGAGGGAGAAGCAGGCUGCCAGGACCCCGGGAUCACAACCUGAGCUGAAGGAAGAUGCUCAGCCUUGAGCCACCCAGGUGCCCCUUAUGCAGUAAUUUAAAAAAUUGAGAAACUAAGGCCUGGAACUAGGGGCACAGGCCGACCCCAGAACAGAGCAGAGCACUCUCAAACCCUGUAUCAGACGAGUUAGAGCUAGAAAAGCAAAAAGGAUGGGGCCAGGAGAGAAUGAAGCCAUCCCCUGCUUCAUCUUCAAAAGCUCCACAGGCCACAUCCAACUGCAGAGCCCACCUUAUCGUGGAUUUGCUCAGCAUACACCUGGCCUGUAAUCUCUGCUCUGGUGCGACACCCAAUUCUCUAGUUCCUGACCCAGGCUGCUUGUGAGUUGUUAUUCCAGAGACCAUCCAGGGCAGGGGGUGGAAAAUUUCCUGGAAGAAGCCAUGGCAUCCCGCCUUCCUGCUUCCCCUGGGUUGUGAAAAAGAUCUAGGGUAGGAACACACGUUCUGUACCAGGAAGAGAGAAGUCCUAGGGACUGGAGAGUCCUAAUCUUGGCAGAUCCAGACCCAGUGGAGAUCUCUGCAUAUACCUGGGCUAGUCUACGACUCAUCCCAGAGAACCUCACCUACUGGUGCCUGUGCUCACACAGGUGGGACAGAAGUUGCAACUUCCCCCAGCCUUGGGUAGGUAGUACCUUCAUGGAUGGCCACUGGCUCUGGCCCCCACCUCCCCCUCGGGCGCCAUCCCUGAUUAAUGAUCUUGUCUUUCUGAUUUAUGAGCAGCCCCUCCAGACGAGGGUGGGCGCCCCUUGCGGCCCCGCCCGCCCCGCUCAGCUGGAGUAGGAGAGAAUUAUUAAAUAAACAUCCAUACGUCAUUCCUCCCCCCCCCAAGCUGGUUGCGCCGAACCCGUGCGGCCCGCUCCAGCACUGACACGGAGCAGCUGCGGUGAUUCAUGGGCAGCCGGGCCCCGAGCCGCGGCCCAUACAUCAUGCCAGCAGCACUCGCGGCCCCAGCCGAGAUAAACUGAUCAACCACAACGGGCUGGAAUGAAUUUAUGACAACACAAAAUGGAGGGAAACAAAUGGGAGGUGACCCUGGGCCACCGACCCGGCCUUGCACCGGCCUGCAAUCCACUCUCCUGGCAGGAGGCAAGAUGGAACACUGGCCCUGGAAUGAAGAGGCUGCCUUUUAACCCCAGGCAACCUAGCCUCCAGCAGAGAGAGAGGGGUGGGGUGAGGGGAGGUAAGCAGUGGCCAACAGCAGCAACUCCAGGCAGCCAGAACUGGACAAUGCCACUCUUAGGGCCAGAGCUGGCCUUGCUUGGGCUCCCGGAAAGGCAGUAAGACGCUCGGCUGAUUCCAAGUCCUUGUGUCGCCUGGGGAUCCAGGCCAGGGGCUGCCCAGCCCCAUGUAAAGUGCUAACGGAUCAGAUCCCCUUUCCCCUGCCACUGAACCCAGGCCAAAAAUUCCUACCAGAAGUGAUGAGACCCAAUGCUCCUGCCUAAAACCCACUGCGAGCGCCACCCGGGACAAGAAAAAUGAAACCAAUUUAGCUCCCGAUUAAGAAACAGAAACUAGAGAUGAAUCAAGUGCGCCGGCUGGGCUGGGCAGCCAUACAUCACAUUCCCGGGCGGAGGCCGCCGCAGCGGGCAGGCAGGCAGGCCGACUGCUCCUCCCUCCGCCAGGACUCCCAGGGCAGUGGCCCAGCGAUCAAUUCACAGAGUCACGCUUAGCACCAGCUGGGCCCCACUGCCGGUCGUGUGCCCAGGGCUGCAGGACUAAGCUGUGCUCUGGAGAGCCAGGAGCCCUGGCAGCAGACCUUUCUGCUAGCAAAGAGCACCCCCCACCCCCUGCACUGCCCUCCCAGGCGCCCCUCUCUCCUGGCCAGACACUCACUUCUCGAUGUCACUAUUCUUGCAGGUCUUCUGCAUGGCCUCCUGCUUGCUGCUCUCACCAUUGCUGGUAGAUGGCAUCUCUGCUGGGACAGAGGGGCAACUCAUACUCUGGCCAGACGGGGCAGCACAGGUCUAGGACGAGCAGAAAGAGGACAAGAAAUUCAGGUCUACGAAGAAGCCACUCGCACCGAGGACCUGGGCAUCCCCUGUGGCCCAUGGUCCACCGUGACAGUCCAUCAGAGGGAAGAGCAAACUGGCUAGGGCCAGUCAGAGCCACACUGCAAGACCCCCAGCCAACGUCCUGAUUUUGGCCGCCAGGUCCUUGCCAGCAAAAACACCAGGCAGCUGUUCAAAUAUUUGGUGUCUGAAGCGCCUGACAUUAAUUAUUCAUCUCCACCUCACUCAGCCCAGAUUCCUGGACAAGUGCAGUUAUAAAGGGAUUAGGAAGGGACAGACGAGGGAGGAUAGGCACGCACACCUGCUUCUCAGAGCAAUCCACAAAGGCAACCGGGCUGCAUGGAGGCAGGGCCAUGGGCCAGGAAGCUGCUGACCCUACCAAGGUGCAUCUGGCCCAGCCUCAGGCAAACCCCUGGCCAACAGGGACGGGUGAGCUGCCAAAGCCACCUCAGGGCUCCUUACCUGCCCUGUGCUCCCAUCACCUUUCCUGAGAGCCAGGGUCAGGGGCCACAAAGGUGCUUCUCCCUCCCUGCCCCUGCCUCCUCCUCCCAGUGGUCUCACACCACAUCCCCUGGCAGGCACAGCAGCCCCGCCAGGACACAGAGAGAUGAGAACAAUGGAAUCUGUGGCAGGUAGAAUCAGCAAGGAAACCCUCAGAGGCGAGGAAGCUCCAGAACUUGUUCUUGUCGUUCUUUCCAUUCUCACCAGGACAACAGUCUUACAGGGGGCCCUCAAGCCUCUCAUCUGUUCCUCCAUCCUGCUUGCCACAUGUUCUGACCCUUCUGUUCCUGGCUCCAAAACCAGCUAUGGCUCCCACCAGGUGUAUAAUCUCAGCCAGAUCUAUCAACAUGUGGAUGCACCUACUUCUCCACCUUUGCUCAUUUCCCUCCAUGAGCACUAUGCCUACAGACAACGUACUGCACCUCACACGAGCCCAUAUGUCCUGCUCUUGAGACCUUUGCUCAUGCUCUUCACUCCAUGUGGAAUGUUCUCCAUCUUUCAAGCCCACUUUCUUCCUGACCUUCCUUCCGCCACCUACGCUUCCAGUCUCUGGUCUCACGGAAGUUCCGUCCAUCCCAAAGGCAAGUAGCACGAAGGAAGGAGAGGCGCUAGGCACUGCCUUGGCUCCACCCCUCCCUGACAAUCCUCAUUUCCCCUCCACACUGAGGCACCAACAAACUGACACACUGAGGCAGCAGGCAGGUCAGCAGCAGGGCCAUUAAGCUGAGAAAACACCAAGUUACAGCUCUGUCUCCUGUUCACGGCCAGGUGUCCUGACAAGCAAUUCCCUCCUUGUGGGUGAGUGGCACCUCUAUAAACCCUCUGACAGUUUGGGAGACAAACUCCGCCAUCAAUCAGAAUGUAGCUAUCAGGUUCACUUACAGCCUGUGCCCCCGAACCCUGCCAACGCCCCCUCCCCCAAGUACACACAGCUCAGCAGUCAGCCUCACAUCCUCUCCUCAGCCUGGCCCUGCCCAGCCCUGUCUGGUGAGUGUGCAAAAAAGAAAGCAAAGAACUGGUGGCGAAGCUGAGAGCAGGGUCCCACAAGGCUGCCAGGAAGAGUCCCAGUUUCUCAACACAGAGAGCAGCCCUGUGGCCUGAAGUCCUCUCCUCUGCCAGGCCCUGACCAGGACUCCUGCUCCAGUGGACAGGAGCUUUCCCCAAGCCUGUGCCCUUGCCUUUGUACAUCCUGUUAAUUCUUCUGCCUCCUGGUCUACAAAACAAACCCGGCUGGCUUGUUCACAAGUCUGACCCAGCUCAGCCAUGCCUCCUGCUAUGAACUCACAGUGCCUAUGCGCAUAGCUGCUCCAGAAAUACCUCCUGAAUGAACUCACCCCAGCAACAUUCUUUCAACUUUUACUGAACUCAUCAUCCUCUGCCUGGUUUGGCAUCUGAGACCCAAGAGUUUCAAGACCUGAUCUGUACCCUCCAGUGCUGAGGGCAGAGAUGUCCCCAGGUAUUUCUACAUAGCUGUCCUCUUCCUUGGUGUCCACCCAGACUCCCGGGCAACUCCAAUCAUAUUUAUUUGUAUCGCCAUGGUCCCUCACCAGAUUCAAAACCCAGGUCUGAUACACUGCUGUGGUCUCAGCAUCAUCCAGCAGAGCUGGCCAGGCCCACAGCAGUGAUGGCUGGCCCCAACCUGGUAGGGCCCGAGAGCCCUGUGUCAGAAAGGAGGCUGAGGCCUGAAGCAGGUGACUUCCUGCUCCUCUGACCAGCUAGGUAGGACGGGGAGCAUGACACAUGCUGUGACCCUGACCCCAUCCCCCAGUGCAGACAGGUGUAGGGAACCUCUCCCUGCCCCCACAGGUGUUCAGAACAGGCUGCUACUGCCAAUUUCCCUCUUAUGCUGCCCUAGCCUGCUCCAAUCUCCUUCCCAGCACAUUAAACUUUAUUUUCUUAAUGAAAUGUCACUUGCUGACUUCUGGCAGAAUCAUAAUAAAAAGAAACUGCCAUAAAGCCGUUUUAUGCAGACAGCGCCCCCACCAGCUUGCCCUCCCCCCCUGCUUUGAGAGGAAGGCUCCAUAGCUGUUUUAUGUUCUCAGCUGCUGGAACAUCCCAAGCCAGUACUCAGAGGCAAGAUGGCACACAGAGCUCCUUUCCAAGCCUCUGGCUCCUGUUCCAUGUAGCUCUGGGGAUAACAAGCAAGCUGCCACUCCUGCUGCUGCUAUCCAGGGAAGCAACUCAGCUCCCAGGACCUCCAAGAUGACCUGGAGUACCCUCCAGUCUACAGGGCAGGCCCCUUGCUGGGGCUCAACCCCACCUCAAGUGGCACAACACGAUGGGCUGCUGUCUACAGUCAAGCUAAGCCUGACUGUCAACGACGCUCAGCAGAGUGGGUUCUGGGAGGGCAGGCAGUGUGAAAAACCACUUCCCUCCAAAUGAAGACUUAGCAACAGAAGAGAUUUAAAUGCAGAAAUGAUAAGCAAGUCUAAAUUUUAUAAAAAUGACCCCUCUCCCAUAAACUCAAUUCUUCCUGGGUCAUCAAGGAGAAAAGGGGGAAAAAAAAAAUCAGUGUUAAUUUAAUCAAUUGAUUAGGUGAUCGAUUGAGAAACUGGAGAUGCCCGUUUACUGGGGACACUAACGUCCUGGAACCCGAAACCACAAAAUAAAGGAGCCAUCAAUUUCCUCACCUGCUGCUCUUAACAAAACCUGAGCCCAGGGAGAAAGGAAAGUCUUGGGGCCCUCCAGAGGCCAUGCUCUUGAGGGGAGGGGCGGGGGGAGAGACUGGGGCAGCAGCUUCCGGAGAGUUUUACACUGGAAUUAGUUACAGAUGCAGUUACGGUGUCUUGUGUAAACGCCAUCGAUUGGGGAGCUGACAGUCUGGGGAGCUGCGAUGCGGGACAAUCAAUCGGCCUGCAGUGUCACCUGCCACCUCGCUGAACAGUUGACAAUGCAAUUAUCCAGUGUGGAGGCAGGGAGUUGGCGUGUGUCAAACGCACUUAGCCACUUUCCGGGCCUCCUCAAUAACGCGUUUCACUGCCUCACGUCAGGAGAGACGCAGAGAGACAGACGCCGUUUAAAACCAUUGAUACUUGCUCCUUCUGCCUGCACUCCCUCUGUCCCAGCUUAACAAUUGUGUUCCAAAAGGCGAUUAAAUCCCCGUCAGUUGCCACAGGGGACAGAAGGUGCCCUGCUCCCUGCCACCUCUCCUCACCCCUCCCACCAGGCAGCAGUUAGAACUAAAGGCAGUAGGGAGCUAGAAGGCAGAAGCCCUAGCCAUCCCCACUCCAAGACGGCCACCGGUGCUCCAGCACCUGUCACUGACCAGACCAAGCAGCGGGGCUGCACUGGGGGGUGCUUGUAGCCGUGGGGGCUCCCAUCUUUUGGGGACUAAUGUGCUAAAGGGGGCAGCGGCUAGGGGAGAGCCUAGCUCUCUGUGCCCUGGGACUCCCAGUACCUCUCACCUCCUGACCCAGAAUCGGGUGGUUUUAGCAAGCCACAGCUGGUCAAAACAUCCGGGAGACCUGCCAGGUCUUUUAGCUGUCCUGCCUGUCCUCUCUGUGAGAUCUCAUCCCUGGCUACUUGGAACCCGCCUAAAGCUGAGACGGGAACUUGAGAAAGAUGCAGUCGCAGGGCAGACGCCUGCACAGCUGAUUCUCUAGUGGCCUCAUUCUCCCUCCCCUCCACCUGUUUGAUUCAAACGUGCUCAGGCACAGAGUCUAGCAGUGUGCCUCCUGUCAGGGCUCACAGAUGCAGCUGCGGCACCUUCUAGUUCCUGUGUGGCCUCCCGGGAAAUUUUUCCAUGUCACCACACUCUUGUGCCUGCCCCAUCCCUGUUACCUUUUCUGAAACCAACCAUUCCUGUGUCCUCUCUCCAGCCUGUCCAUUCCAGACACGACGGGCUCCAGGCUCCUUAAAUCCAGCAGGGUGAACUUUCACUAGCAACCAAUACAGGGCAAGGAUGAAAGCUCAACAUAAGUCUCUUCUAGGACCCAGGGGCCAGAGACAGGCAAAGAGGAAAGGUGUGGCUCAUUCAUCACAUACUUCCUUUGCCUACAGAUGGGAGAGUUUUGUCCCAAAGGGCUGUGUAAUUAGGUUUCCCUGAGGCCUGCUGCUCUAGCCUAGAGGCCCCUUGCUCUGCCCAUGCUGGCAUGAUGUCCCAGAAGAGGAUCUUUUUCUUCUACCUGCUAAGCUCUCUCAGGGAGAUGUUGGGGAAGCACCAGGCCCUGUGCCACCCUUUAUGCAAUUCUAAUGCUCAGUGGAGGAAAUGGCAGGAGCCACUGAGCAUCCCUUGGGUUCUGAGAGGACGUCAGCAGCUCGGGCACAGUCCAUGACUUCUGAGAACUGGGAAGGCCACCGUAUUUCCCAAUGUUUUAGGUCUUCCAACCUACUGUCUUGAAAUCUUUAUUUCCUUUAGCCUCUUAAAGAUCUAAUCCUAGCUAGACCUAUCUUGGUGCUUACUUACCUGUUCUGUCUGGUAUUUCAUUUUGUUCUAGAUUCCAACUCCAAGCAAUCCAGGGCCUGAGCUAGCUGGGCUUUGCCUUCGAUAGCCACAGGUCCAUCUCCAAGGCCUGUUCCCCUCAGCCAAGUGUCUCCACCAAAACUCUUGCUCACUCCCUGGCUCCAAAGCAGAUCACAUUCAAGGUAACAGAUCUGCUCCAUCAGACCAGUUCCCAGUGGGCUUGGUGGGAAGCUUUGCUGAGGAUGAUGAAGGGGCUCUGGUCUGGGAGGAGGGAUAGGGGAUGAUCGGAUACAGGAACUUAUCUGCAAUUCUUCAAUUCUUUCAUAUCUAACAAGGACAGCAAUCUCUGUUCUGUCAGCACGCACAGUGCCGCUUAAAUGGGCCUCACCACUUGCCCGCUCAUCCUGCCUCUGCUCCCUCUCUCUGAAGUCGGCUGGGCAGCUUCUUCAGCCGGCGUUAUCACUCCCUCUAACCGGUCUUGGCAGGCAAUCUAAUUCCUCCUGAAAAGGUCACCGCCAUUUUAACUGCCUUUCAAUCACAUUAAGCACGCGCUGCCCGGCUUGCGGCCCGGCCCGCCCGGCGGGCGAUCAAUGCGCAGCACUGACACCAGCCCGCCUGGCGGGGCCACACCCAACCCCCCAAGAGUUGAGGCCUACCGGUCCUGGCCAGGGAGGGUAGACUGACAGAUGGCCAGCUUCUGCAGACAGGGUUUCAGGGGCAGAGGCAGGCAGGAUCAACCAGGGUCUCCUUUGAUGCCCCUCCCGCCCCCCCACCGAGGAGCCUCAGCCUCCUCUGCUCCACUGCGCCCCGCUCUCUGCCUCGUGGCCCCCGCUGAUCUUGCUGUAAAACAGCCUUUCAAGUCUGCCUGUCUUUUGACUGCACUAAGCUGUUUAAGAGGCGGCAGCAGCUUCUAUCAGGCAAGCUGGAGCCAUUCUCUGCAGAUAAAGGCACCUCCGGCCCUGCUCCCUCUUCAAGCCUCACUCUCAUUCUCGCUCUCCAAAUCGCUCAAAGAAAAGCCCCCCUUUGAACUACCCUCAGGAAUUCUUGAAAGGAACAACCUCACACUGUAAACACUCAGGGAAAACUGACACCCGCCCAGGGCCUAAGAGCACAGCACACCCGCUCUGCAAGUGCGUCCCAGCGCAGGGGAAAUACUCUGUCAAACCAGCAGGCCCCAUGUAUGCAGCUUUACCCCCUGGAAGCCUUGUCUGGUGCCCAGAAGCCAUCAGGUCCAGUUCUGUGCCAGGAAACCUAAGAGGUUGCCACAGUCAUGGAAGAUGUGAGUAUCUGCAGCUGCCAACAGAGUGAACCUAGGGCGGCAUGCUGCAACAGACCCUGCAUGGGCCACCACCAGACACCUGUGUGUGCGAUUCCCAGGAUCCUCGUUUUUUUUUGCUGCUCAUCCUCCCAGGGCCUCACACACUCUAAAACUCUAGGACCAGAAUGAAAUGGCAAAUGAACUUUCUCCAGCUCAGGCUCUGGCAAUGGUUUGGGCUGAUUUACUGUACUGAUUUACACUCUGGAUUGCCCCAAAUGCUUGGGGGAUGGAGAGAAACCCAGAGGCAGAAAGCCUCACCUGGACUCGGAGCCCUUCACGUGUCCAGUCUGCACUGCACCGGUGCUAUGGAGACCGCUCCUCAGGACCAGCCCACACAGCAUGGCCCCAACAAGGCAGAGACCCUCUGCCCAGCUGCUGUGAGAUUCCCCGGGGACCAGACCCACCAGUACUCCCAAGGGUGUUGCCCAGGGAAUUGGAGGCAGACGGGAAGCAGAUUGGUUCACUUAAUGAUCGUACUAACGCGGCUUGGCUGUCACCUUCAAUGCAUCACCCGAGGCUGAGAGCCCCCCUCGUCACUCCUAGCUUGCAGCCUCACAAUUCCAUUUCCCCACCCAAAUACAUCCAUUUUAAUAUGCACAUCACAGGCAGGCAGCACGGUCACAAAGGAGCCCCGCCAGCAGCGGUUCCCACGUGGUGGAACGGAUGACCAGCCACCGGCCCUGGCCUCUCAGCUCCCAACAGAUGGAUCCCCAGCGGAGGCCUGGCCACCAGAGUGCCACUGCUUUAUGUGUCAGCUGCUUGUACCUCGGAAACCACCUUCCAGGAGAGUGGUGGCCCGUAUCCGCUUCUGCCCGCACCACUCAUAUUCCUCAAAGCGGUUGCUGUUCUCGUGCUCGAUGUCCACGGCAUCAUCCUCAGCCACGCAGGAGCCUUCCCUCUGUGAAGAGCAGAGUAGGAUCAUGCGGGUCCCAGGCCACACUACCUGCUCCCCAGAGUGUACGAGGAAGGCACAGGCCUGGCCCCCAGUUUGGUGUGCCAGAUGGGCUCCUGGCUCCAGUGCUCCUUUCAAGUAAACAAAUCUAGAAGUCAAAGAUCUGGGCCUCUUCCCAAUAAUUUUCCACUGGAGCCCCAGGGGAGGGGAAGAAGAGUAAAAGCAAAGGAAGAGGGUGAAGAACAAAGAGGAAGAAGCUGCUGAGCCCACAUGGAGACCCCAACAUAGCCCAUAAACCUGGGGGCAGCCAGCAGCUAGUGU
Canis lupus familiaris (dog) is the source of this 9503-nucleotide long non-coding RNA. RefSeq lists it as uncharacterized. The transcript has 3 exons. Lineage: Eukaryota; Metazoa; Chordata; Mammalia; Carnivora; Canidae. The record is from RefSeq and is a predicted model, not a curated record.